UUGUUCUUGAGCUCCUUAUAGGAAUUCAGUAAAACCCUUAUUGGAAUUCAAUAAAUGCCUUUAAACAUAAUUUAGUACUUGACAGAUGUACUUCGUUCUGGUUCAUCCUUUCAAACGCGUGCCCUCUAUCAUUUCUUCAAUUGUCAAACCAUGCAAUUUGUCGCCAUGCCUACGUCAUAUCAUCUGACAUUUACUUCUCUUUAACAUAUCCAUAAGUGGUAUACGUGUCGUUUUGCUUUGAAACGUCUAUAUUUGUUCUUCUUUUGUUCCGUUUUUUUUUUUUUUUUUGCGUCUCUCUAACAACGCAUAGUAGAGCCUUCGGCUUAUUUCAUAGCCUUUGUUGUUCACUAUCCAAAUCUCAUAUCCACGCAAACUCACAUUUCAGACAAAAGUUUUGACACAGUAUAUAUUUGCUUGAUUAAUUUGUAUAAAAUAAUAAUAAUUAUGAUACAUUUUUAAGGUAUGAAAACCUGCAUUAUAGUGUAUACUAGACGG
Cinara cedri is the source of this 495-nucleotide non-coding RNA. The record is from the annotation of a GenBank genome assembly. NCBI's taxonomy places the organism in Eukaryota, Metazoa, Arthropoda, Insecta, Hemiptera, Aphididae.